Molecule: ribosomal RNA, 580 nt
Filed under: uncultured bacterium
Lineage: Bacteria
Description: partial 16S ribosomal RNA
Rfam family: Bacterial small subunit ribosomal RNA
Source: RNAcentral
UGGGGAAUUUGGACAAUGGGCGAAGCCUGAUCCAGCAAUGCCGCGUGUGUGAAGAAGGCCUUCGGGUUGUAAAGCACUUUUGUCCGGAAAGAAAUCCUUGGCUCUAAUACAGUCGGGGGAUGACGGUACCGGAAGAAUAAGCACCGGCUAACUACGUGCCAGCAGCCGCGGUAAUACGUAGGGUGCAAGCGUUAAUCGGAAUUACUGGGCGUAAAGCGUGCGCAGGCGGUUUGCUAAGACCGAUGUGAAAUCCCCGGGCUCAACCUGGGAACUGCAUUGGUGACUGGCAGGCUAGAGUAUGGCAGAGGGGGUAGAAUUCCACGUGUAGCAGUGAAAUGCGUAGAGAUGUGGAGGAAUACCGAUGGCGAAGGCAGCCCCUGGGCCAAUACUGACGCUCAUGCACGAAAGCGUGGGGAGCAAACAGGAUUAGAUACCCUGGUAGUCCACGCCCUAAACGAUGUCAACUAGUUGUUGGGGAUUCAUUCCUUAGUAACGUAGCUAACGCGUGAAGUUGACCGCCUGGGGAGUACGGUCGCAAGAUUAAAACUUAAAUGAAUUGACGGGGUCAUAGCUGUUUCCU